UACGUAGGGGGCUAGCGUUGUCCGGAAUCAUUGGGCGUAAAGCGCGUGUAGGCGGUCCGGUAAGUCCGCUGUGAAAGUCGGGGGCUCAACCCUCGGAUGCCGGUGGAUACUGUCGGGCUUGAGUACGGAAGAGGCGAGUGGAAUUCCUGGUGUAGCGGUGAAAUGCGCAGAUAUCAGGAGGAACACCAAUUGCAAGGCAGCUCGCUGGGACGUUACUGACGCUGAGACGCGAAAGCGUGGGGAGCAAACAGG
This 252-nucleotide ribosomal RNA is filed under the name uncultured bacterium. RNAcentral describes it as "partial 16S ribosomal RNA". It matches the Rfam family "Bacterial small subunit ribosomal RNA", at positions 524 to 776 of the family's 1533-position model. The record is from RNAcentral.